CAACAACAACUAUUUGUUGUUCAUCACACAAACAUAAUUAGUCUUUAGAUAAUUUAUGGUUCACACAUCUCAUAACAAAAACCUCUUUUCCCUUUCUCCAAAUGUCCAUUUAUUUGAUGUACCAUCACAGACUAUGUGGUUACAGCAAGCAAUUUAGGAGAGAAAACUUAUGUAUGAAUGUGUUAAAAGAAGCUGACAUGCCCAUAUAAAUUGGUAACCAUACAGGAUAACUCCAAUGGCCGAAAAUAAAGGCUGUGCCCAUAUUGGCUAUGGUUAUCAACCUUCAAAAAGAGAAAUAAGCUCAGACACUGUGCACGUCUGUAUGACAUCAGAGCACAGUGGGGGUAAUUGUAACAGAUAAUUUUUUUUCCGUGUUUUUCUUAGUUCUUUUCUUUUUAUACAUGUAAGCCUCAUAUAACCAAUGAUAAAGUAACAAGUUAUUUUGUGCCGGUGAUAAUGUUGUGAUACAAAACAAAAAAGAAGAGAUAUGCUCUUCUGUUGAUUAAUUUUGUUAUCAUCACCUUUUUGUUUCUAUAAGUGGAAGUGGUCAGACAUAUGACUAUCUCCAGCAUUUCAGUAUUAUUUAAAAAUGUGCAUUCUAAUUGUAUAUUAAAAAGUGUUAUAAAAGUCAAUAGGAAUAUCAAGUUUAUUUAAAUAUGUAUACAGCUAUGCCAGUAAUACCCAUCUGUACAUCAUUUCACCUGCACUUAGAAUUGAAGCAGGCAAGUGGAAAUCGCAUGAGCAGCAGAGGGGCCAUCAUACAUCAGCAUUGUUGUAAGCAGUGCUAUUUGCAAUGGAAUUAACAUGAAUUCAUGGGUCCAGAGGACAGCGUGGCCACAGCAGCUGCCAGAGGGUGUCCUCAUUCCACUGUGGGAUGACGCCACGGAGAUGGAGCCUUCGCCUCCUCUGCCUUCUCUUGUCCUACCGAUGGAGCAGGACCCACCCACACCACAGCAGUUGCCACCUUCUACAUCUGGUUCAUGGCAGCAGGAGGUGGCCGUGUACCCUUCUGGUCAUUUUCUGGGGGACGUUUCCACCAGAGCGCAGGUCAGAUGGUGGAGUACGGCCAGAAGCUUGAGGUCCCCUGCAGCUACAGCUUCCGGCCCAGCAAAGCACCCACACUCCUGCCUCCCUUCAAGGUUGCACUCCCUACAUGACAAUGGUCCACCACUUAGUCGGGGAGGAAUGUUCUGGUGUAACCACAAGUGACAGAACAAAGAUGAAGAAUGCAAGAGAAGAGAAGGUGGUGAAGCGACGUCAGCCAAUAGUCCACUUACCAGGACGUCACCACGAUAGAAGUGGCAUCUAGCUGAAGUGAAUAUAAGCACCACUCCUACCAGCCUUCACUGAACAUUAGUGGACAGUAUUCACAGAGUAUUAGCAUGGCCUAGCAGAGAGUGCUACAAUAGCAGUUAUUAGUGAUCCACAAACUGUGCGUCAAACUUGCAUGAAUGCUGAAUGUAGCAAAGGACUUGGAUUUAUGCUGCAUGUCACCCGUUUCUUGUAACACCAUCGUUAUUUCAGAGUGAAGUAUUGUCAAUCUGCUUUAUUGAAAUAAAACUACUAAUGUUA
Molecule: long non-coding RNA, 1572 nt
Organism: Schistocerca piceifrons (Central American locust)
Lineage: Eukaryota; Metazoa; Arthropoda; Insecta; Orthoptera; Acrididae
Exons: 2
Source: RefSeq, a predicted model, not a curated record